Molecule: ribosomal RNA, 388 nt
Filed under: Rouxana sp. 1 SAD-2004
Lineage: Eukaryota; Metazoa; Arthropoda; Malacostraca; Decapoda; Gecarcinucidae
Description: partial 16S ribosomal RNA
Source: RNAcentral
UUUUUAAAUGAGAUCUUGUAUGAAUGGUUGAACAAAGGGAAAGCUGUCUUAAAAUUAAAAUUUGAAUUUUACUUUUAAGUGAGAAGGCUUAAAUAUUUUAGAAGGACGAUAAGACCCUAUAAAGCUUUACAUAAAGUUAUAUUUAAUUAAAUUUAUAAUUAUAAAAAUUUAAUAUAGUUUUUUGUUAUGUUGGGGAGAUAGAGGUAUAAUUUUUAGUAGCUGCUUAAAAAAUAAACAUUUAUUUAUGGUAAAAGUGGGUAAAAGAUCCUAAUUAUAGAUUUAAAGUUGAAGUUACUUUAGGGAUAACAGUAUAAUUUUUUUUGAGAGCCCAUAUCGAAAAGGGAGCUUGUAACCUCGAUGUUGGAUUAAAUAAUCUAUAUAAUGUAGU